This 477-nucleotide ribosomal RNA is filed under the name uncultured organism. Its description in RNAcentral is "partial 16S ribosomal RNA". It matches the Rfam family "Bacterial small subunit ribosomal RNA", at positions 331 to 799 of the family's 1533-position model. The record is from RNAcentral.
CGACACUCCUACGGGAGGCAGCAGUGGGGAAUUUUGGACAAUGGGCGAAAGCCUGAUCCAGCAAUGCCGCGUGAGUGAAGAAGGCCUUCGGGUUGUAAAGCUCUUUUGUCAGGGAAGAAACGGUGAAAGCUAAUAUCUUUUGCUAAUGACGGUACCUGAAGAAUAAGCACCGGCUAACUACGUGCCAGCAGCCGCGGUAAUACGUAGGGUGCAAGCGUUAAUCGGAAUUACUGGGCGUAAAGCGUGCGCAGGCGGUUUUGUAAGUCUGAUGUGAAAUCCCCGGGCUCAACCUGGGAAUUGCAUUGGAGACUGCAAGGCUAGAAUCUGGCAGAGGGGGGUAGAAUUCCACGUGUAGCAGUGAAAUGCGUAGAUAUGUGGAGGAACACCGAUGGCGAAGGCAGCCCCCUGGGUCAAGAUUGACGCUCAUGCACGAAAGCGUGGGGAGCAAACAGGAUUAGAAACCCCUGUAGUCCCAUG